Canis lupus familiaris (dog) is the source of this 890-nucleotide long non-coding RNA. RefSeq lists it as uncharacterized. The transcript is spliced from 3 exons. The record is from RefSeq and is a predicted model, not a curated record. NCBI's taxonomy places the organism in Eukaryota, Metazoa, Chordata, Mammalia, Carnivora, Canidae.
UCUGCCCUCACAGAGCACACUGUCUGGUUGGGAGUGACAAGACAAACACCCAGAAAGAGAAAACAUACAGUCACUUUGUGAUUUCAUAACCUGGUCAAAAGGAUUUGUUAUACAGGAAUUCCUGGGAAGGGGAGGUCAGAGUGGUCUGGGGCAGUUGGGAAGGGCUGUCUAGAAGAGGGGGCUCUAGAGCUACCCCUGAAAGAUGAAUAUUAGAAAGAGCAGGGGGAGGAAAGAGGUUUGGGCUGGAAGGGAUGAUGUGGGCAAAGGUGCACGGGCAGGAACAGAGAUGGGAUCUUGUGUGUGUGCGUGUGUACAUGUGUGCAUUGGCGUGUGCUCGUGUGUGUGCUAGGAGCAGAGAGAGGGCGAGGAGACCUCAGGGCGGCUGUCUGCCGUGAGCGCAGGUGGGCAGGACCCGCAGCUGGGGCUGGACUCGAGUGAAGGCACACAGCUUAGAUUUUAGAAGAACCUCGGUGGGAGAAACCCAGUGGUGAUGUCUGUAACAAAAGAUUUUCCCCUGGAAGGUGGCGGCACAGCUCCGAGACUGAGAAUCAGUGAGAAAAUGCUGCACCUCCCAGACUUUCUCGAACUCUGUGUCACAAGUACACAAGCACUGAGCACCCAGGCAGGCCAGGGCCCUUGACGCCUCCGUGACAUUAUCUCUGAGUCUAUAAAGUGAAGAGACCGACAGGACCCACCUAACUGGAUUGCCGGAGGACAAAAGUUGAUGCAUAUGAACUGCCUGGUGUGCACAGGCUCAAUAAAGAUGAGGAUGCUCGAGCCUCCUGCACAGGCUGCUGGCCCCACACCCAGUCACGGAGCCCAGCACGGGCCCAGGGGCGAGGGGUGGAGCAGGAGCAGCUGGGGAAGGAUAUGGGGAGACUGGCCUGGCU